CCUCCUUUCUAAGGAGCUUGUCUCCAAAGAAUCUUAUGAAACAUCUGAUAAGGGUCGCCUCUUCAACGCAACUUCUCUCAGUUUUACCUGCAAGGGUCCUAGACAAUCAGGUUGGGCCUAUAGCUCAGAUGGUUAGAGCGCACGCCUGAUAAGCGUGAGGUCGAUAGUUCAAUUCUAUCUAGGCCCACCAUCUGAGUCAUAAAUAGUUGGCAAAUUUGGCCAAUUGGAGGUGGGACAAGAGCCUUUACCCUUCUUCUUGGGGGGGCUGUANCUCANCUGGGANAGCACCUGGUUUGCAACCAGGGGGUCGGCGGUUCAAUCCCGCUCANCUCCACCAUUUGCUGCAUUCUGAGUGAAGUGGUUGUGGUAGAUUUGUGCGGUCCUUCCAUGA
This 391-nucleotide transfer RNA is filed under the name uncultured Gammaproteobacteria bacterium. Its description in RNAcentral is "partial 16S-23S ribosomal RNA intergenic spacer". The stretch from base 114 to 187 matches the Rfam family "tRNA". The record is from RNAcentral. Lineage: Bacteria; Pseudomonadati; Pseudomonadota; Gammaproteobacteria.